Long non-coding RNA from Centruroides sculpturatus (bark scorpion), 264 nucleotides. RefSeq lists it as uncharacterized. Lineage: Eukaryota; Metazoa; Arthropoda; Arachnida; Scorpiones; Buthidae. The record is from RefSeq and is a predicted model, not a curated record. The transcript has 3 exons.
AGAUGUCAAAUGUAUGGAAUUAUGUCACAUGUUUUUACUGUAACGUUUCAAAUACUUCCGAGGAGUUAAAGAUACUUAACAUGUUUCAAAUUCAGAAGAACGGGAACAAUGGCAUAACUUGUAAAAAGUUCUUCGUAUUGAAUAAGGCUUUUAUUUUAAAAUUUGUCAACUUCGUAAUAAUUCAAGUGUGGGUAUUAAAACAGAUUAGUGAAAAUUUAUGAAAAUUGAUUUUUAAUAAAGGAAACAUCGGACAUUGCAAUACAG